Hippocampus comes (tiger tail seahorse) is the source of this 792-nucleotide long non-coding RNA. RefSeq lists it as uncharacterized. The record is from RefSeq and is a predicted model, not a curated record. The transcript has 2 exons. NCBI's taxonomy places the organism in Eukaryota, Metazoa, Chordata, Actinopteri, Syngnathiformes, Syngnathidae.
UUAAGUUUUGUGACCAUUGUGGGGUUUUCCUUUUUUCAAUGGAAGGGUACGAGUGCAUUUACAGUACUUUUAUUUUCCUUGAGGUUUUAUGCCAUCUAAUGUGUCAGAGCAAACUUGUCUACUUGUCAAGUUUCACCAUCAGCACUUUGAAGUUUACAAUCAGUGAGGUCUGUUCUAUCACUGCUAUUGGCAGGCAUUUACAGUGCAUCAAAGUGUGCUGCAUCCAUGCAGCGUCCGCUGGCAGCGAGGUGAACAGGAGAGCCGGGCAGCAGGGAGAGCUGGGUCUGAGGAGACCUACUCUGGCUGGGCUCGGGCAGAUGUUGGAUUAGCCUCCACCUCUUCCACCGUCUCCAGAUCUCGUGCUGCACCUGCAAGAGCAUCCCCUUAAAAUGCUGAUGUAAAAUAUGGCCUCAUUAGGAGUGCAGUGGUUCACAAAGCUACACAAACAGCAUACAUGGGUCAGAUGUGAAUGUGAAUGAUUAGUCUGAUUUACCUGAUCCUAUCUAAUCCUUUCACGAUAUGGAGUGAAAAUUCACGUAUUAUAUCAGCACACAGCUGUUUGUUUGAAUAAAAAUAGCAGUAAAUAAAGAAAAGCUCAUUCUAAUAAAGCCUCAUAUCAGUCGGCUCGGAUUUAAAACAGCUUCCAUGUUACACUGAAGUGUGUGUGAUCAAAGAAAAUUAAAGGAAAUACAAUGCUUGUCCAUAUUACACAGUUUUUACCUCUCCGUUCAUGAAUGCGUAGAGGAGAGCGACCACAAACCCCUCAGAAAAAAAAAAAAAAGUACAUUAGGU